RNAcentral lists this ribosomal RNA (253 nucleotides) under uncultured bacterium. Its description in RNAcentral is "partial 16S ribosomal RNA". It matches the Rfam family "Bacterial small subunit ribosomal RNA", at positions 524 to 776 of the family's 1533-position model. The record is from RNAcentral.
UACGAAGGGGGCUAGCGUUGCUCGGAAUUACUGGGCGUAAAGCGCACGUAGGCGGCUUGUUAAGUCAGGGGUGAAAUCCUGGAGCUCAACUCCAGAACUGCCUUUGAUACUGGCGAGCUUGAGUUCGGGAGAGGUGAGUGGAACUGCGAGUGUAGAGGUGAAAUUCGUAGAUAUUCGCAAGAACACCAGUGGCGAAGGCGGCUCACUGGCCCGGUACUGACGCUGAGGUGCGAAAGCGUGGGGAGCAAACAGG